AAGUCGUAACAAGGUUUCCGUAGGUGAACCUGCGGCUAGGAUCAUUA
This 47-nucleotide ribosomal RNA is filed under the name fungal sp. TT-F4. Its description in RNAcentral is "partial 18S rRNA". The record is from RNAcentral. Lineage: Eukaryota; Fungi.